This 298-nucleotide signal recognition particle RNA is filed under the name Cebus imitator (Panamanian white-faced capuchin). RNAcentral describes it as "Metazoan signal recognition particle RNA (ENSCCAG00000009992.1)". It matches the Rfam family "Metazoan signal recognition particle RNA". From Rfam's summary of the family: The signal recognition particle (SRP) is a universally conserved ribonucleoprotein. It is involved in the co-translational targeting of proteins to membranes. Lineage: Eukaryota; Metazoa; Chordata; Mammalia; Primates; Cebidae. The record is from RNAcentral.
GCCGGGCGCAUGGCGCAUGCCUGUAGUCCCAACUGCUCGGGAGGCUGAGGCGGGAGGAUCGCUUGAGCCCAGGAGUUCUGGGCUGUAGGGCACUAUGCCAAUCGGGUGUCCGCACUGAGUUCGGCAUCAAUAUGGUGACUUCCCGGGAGGAGGGGACCACCAGGUUGCCUGAGGAGGGGUGAACCGGCCCAGGUCAGAAAUGAAGGCAGUCAAAACUCCCGUGCUGAUCAGUAGUGGAAUCACACCUGUGAAUAGCCACUGCCCUCCAGCCUGGGCAACACAGCGAGUCCCUGUCUCU